GGGAGGAAGGUUAAUGGUCUCUGUUCCCUCCAAACAGGCCGUUGUUGCUGAGGAUGAAGAAGAUACGAAGAGAGUUGUCCGAAGUGCCAAGGACAAGAGGUUUGAGGAGCUUACCAACCUUAUCCGGACCAUCUGUAAUGCCAUGGAGAUUCGGGAUGUCACCAAGUGCCUG
This is a non-coding RNA of Ceratotherium simum simum (southern white rhinoceros), 172 nucleotides long. The record is from RefSeq and is a predicted model, not a curated record. NCBI's taxonomy places the organism in Eukaryota, Metazoa, Chordata, Mammalia, Perissodactyla, Rhinocerotidae.